Thalassophryne amazonica is the source of this 1375-nucleotide long non-coding RNA. RefSeq lists it as uncharacterized. The record is from RefSeq and is a predicted model, not a curated record. NCBI's taxonomy places the organism in Eukaryota, Metazoa, Chordata, Actinopteri, Batrachoidiformes, Batrachoididae. The transcript is spliced from 2 exons.
AUAAAGUAAAUAAAUAAAUGUACUCAGCUCUGCUAAACCGGUAAAGAAAUAAAAUAGAGCACCUCCAGGCAGAAACAUCUCUUUGUUUCCUGUACUUCUGUUGUGUUGUGACUGUUUGCAACACAGCUGUGUUUUUGCUUUAUUAAAUUCUUGCAUGUGCUGCAGGUUAUAUUUGGUUGUGCUAUCUGUGCUUGCAAGCAUUUUCUCCAUUUACAUCAUGUUUUUGAUGCAACUACCUGCUGUGAAUUAAUUAAGCUUAUUUUUUGUGUUUCUUAGCAUAUUUUGCAUUUCUGAGUGUUGUCUUAAUUUGGAAGUGCUGUGGCCUCUCUAGGCCACCAUACAUUUAUUUCUUGCAGUGCUCAGUUCUGACAGUGUGACAACAAAUGUGAAAAAGAGAAACAAGACGAUAUGAGUUUGUAAGGGCAACAAAAGUGAAUCAGGGAAAGGCAGUGUGAAUAGUUUUUUAUUGUAAUUAAGUGGACUUUAAAUGUGAGGUGUUGAAUGUUUAGUGAUAAAGUAGUUGUACGAUUUGUACAUGGGUUUUUAUAGAGCGGGCAGUUGUGUAGUGGUAGUGUUAUGCUUAGCUGCAGACUGUUGCACAGAAACAGAACAGCCACUAAGACAAUCUGCUGCACGUGAACGCAGCACUCAGACGCAGCCGAGGGUCUCUUACAGUCUCAGCCAUAGACAGAUGAAUGUGUCACGUCACUUCUCAGACAGACACCUUGCUCUCCAUCUGCUCUUCGCUCAGUAAUAUCAGACUCACCGUUACAGCGAAGUUCAUCACCAGGCUUUAAUUUCUAACUUGCAUGAUAACCAGUGUCCACAGUUUUUACCAUUUGUGUGUGAUUUGUGUACAUGCCAUGUCUGAAACUGCCGUCCGUGCAGUAUCUUUUGUUAUUCUUUGAAAAGGACUUGUGUAUAAUGUAACUAUGGUUUAUGAUAAUGCUGCAUAUGCAAUGCAAUGAUGCUCAAGAAUUUGCCAAAGUUUGUUACAUCACUUGCUUUUGAGAGAAAAUAAUAUCCAGAUACUGCAAAUAACUGCUAACAUAAUUUACUGUUAGAACGUUUAGUAUAGAGGCAUAGUACACAUCUCAAGAUAUUGUUCGAAAAAAGUUCAGUUUCCUCUCUUUGGAAAUAGUUCAAGAGCUGUUAAAUUGUAGAAAUUUCAGUAGAUUUAUGUGUAAAUUUCAUUUAUGCAUAAUUAAACAGGUUAAUUGAAAUGAUCUGAUGAUGCUGUGCAACAGUGUUGUUAGGUAAUUAAUUCAUGAAAUGGGAUGAGUUACAAGCUGAAAAUGCAGAGAGAAAUGCAACUGGUCUUACAAAAAUAAAUGCAUGAUUACUUUUGCUGAUGCCAAUAAAGAAUUCAACAGAA